UGAGCCCGCGGCCUAUCAGCUUGUUGGUGAGGUAAUGGCUCACCAAGGCUUCGACGGGUAGCCGGCCUGAGAGGGUGACCGGCCACACUGGGACUGAGACACGGCCCAGACUCCUACGGGAGGCAGCAGUGGGGAAUAUUGGACAAUGGGCGGAAGCCUGAUCCAGCAACGCCGCGUGAGGGAUGACGGCCUUCGGGUUGUAAACCUCUUUCAGCACAGACGAAGCGCAAGUGACGGUAUGUGCAGAAGAAGGACCGGCCAACUACGUGCCAGCAGCCGCGGUAAUACGUAGGGUCCGAGCGUUGUCCGGAAUUAUUGGGCGUAAAGGGCUCGUAGGCGGUUUGUCACGUCGGGAGUGAAAACCAGGUGCUUAACACCUGGCCUGCUUUCGAUACGGGCAGACUAGAGGUACUCAGGGGAGAAUGGAAUUCAUGGUGUAGCGGUGAAAUGCGCAGAUAU
RNAcentral lists this ribosomal RNA (459 nucleotides) under uncultured bacterium. Its description in RNAcentral is "bacterial SSU rRNA". It matches the Rfam family "Bacterial small subunit ribosomal RNA", at positions 226 to 697 of the family's 1533-position model. The record is from RNAcentral.